GCAUAACGCGAAGAACCUUACCUAGGCUUGAACUCCUACGAAUCCGGGGUAAUGCCUGGAGUGUCCGCAAGGAAAUGUAGUGAGAGGUGCUGCAUGGCUGUCGUCAGCUCGUGUUGUGAAAUGUUGGGUUAAGUCUCGCAACGAGCGCAACCCCUAUCGUCUGUUGCCAGCAUUAAGUUGGGCACUCUGACGAGACUGCCUGGGUUAACCAGGAGGAAGGUGGGGAUGACGUCAAGUCCUCAUGGCCCUUAUGUCUAGGGCUACACACGUAAUACAAUGGCGCGUACAAAGGGAAGCGAACUCGCAAGGGGAAGCAAAUCUCAAAAAGCGCGCCUCAGUUCGGAUUGGAGUCUGCAACUCGACUCCAUGAAGUUGGAAUCGCUAGUAAUCGGAGAUCAGCACGCUCCGGUGAAUACGUUCCCGGGUCUUGUACACACCG
Molecule: ribosomal RNA, 439 nt
Filed under: uncultured bacterium
Lineage: Bacteria
Description: bacterial SSU rRNA
Rfam family: Bacterial small subunit ribosomal RNA
Source: RNAcentral